UAAAAUAUUCUAUUUUCUUAUAAAACAAUAUUUAUAGAGUUACCGGUAAAUAAUUUUUGUAGCAUAAAAGCUAAAUAAAUUCAUACAUACUAUAAUACAGAUAACCAAAGUAUAAAAUUUAAUUUACAGUAACACGUGGGCCCAGGAACGACCAAAAGUAUCAAAAGCGGUAAACCUACAGUUUUUGAGGAUACAAGUCCAACUGUAGCCCUCAACAAAGUGAGCUAUCUACCAACUAUCCUGAGCCUGCAAUGGGUGGAAAGGAGGGUGGUGAGAUUAUAUAAUCCCAAUGAGUAAACAAAUACCAUCUAAAAUAUAUAAAGCUGAGCAAAUUGAUACAGAUAAAAUAGAUUAGCAUAAAAAUGAUUCUCAGCAUUUCGAACUCAUUUUAAUAAGUUAAAAUAGAUUCAUUUCACCCAAAUAAACAACGAGGCUUAUGAUUUCCUGAAAAGUUUGGCUCGUGCCAAAAUCAUUCACAUACUCAAUUAUCAGGGAUACCUUGGCCUGGGGCUAUUCCAACCGAGUCCGCCAAGGCUGUUAAAAGUCAUGUACGCAUAAAUCAUGUUUUUAUUUUGAAAACAUAGUCGUUCCUUGGCGUUGGCUGAGUUUACCCUCACGUGGUGGUUUGGUGUGAAGUGAACUCUAAAGUUUUAACCUCAGGAGUUAUCCAACCGCGCCUCUCAUACUGAGGUAUGAAUAUAAUAGGGUUACCGUGCCCCUCUAAUAGGUUGGUCCACGGAACCCGUCCACUGCAGCGACCAAAUAUAACACACCAAUUCAAUAAAAUUCAACAGCAUGACAUGGCAAUUAUUUUAUUUUACAGUCUCUCAAGGCAAAUCAACAGUUCAUACUUUUUCAACACAUUUACCAAAUCCAACCAUUCAUGCCAAUAUUAUCAUAAGCCAUUCAAUUCAAACCAUGAUUUAUAACACAGCAAUUAGUCUCCAAUUACUCCAUUUUCAAGUCUAUUUCAAGUCAAUUUUAGAAAAUCAUUUCAUGUAAUCACAUUUUGCUUAUAAAACAUAAAGAUUUACCAUUUAAACUCAUUUUUCUAUCAAAUCACAAAAAUGAAUAAAAACUACUUUAGAUAAUUAAGACGAUAAUAAGGUUACUCACUAUUUUGGGAGUCAAAUUUCGAGUUCUCCGAUUCUUGAUCCUCGGGUACUAUCUCUUUACUUUUGCCAGAAUGCUCACCACCUAGACAUAAUACACAAUAAGCCAUUUACUACAUUUAUGCUAAAUUGUUAUAAAACCAAUUCAGGCUUUAUACUAAUGCAUGAAAUGGGAUGUAAAUUAUUCGAAUUAUCGUCUAAACACGAUGUUCUACACAAAUUCAAUUGUAUGCCUAAAUAAAACGGUAUUGGCCUAAUUCGAUCUAUCACUCGAUUAAUUGGCCAAUAUGUCUAAUUCAACUCCAAUAAUUCCAUUUUUCUUCCAAUUCUUCAAACCAUCAAACACAAGUUAAAUAACUUGAAAUAUGGUAAAAUCAUCCUCACAUUUUCUCUUGGAAAAUUCGGCCAUGGUGGGUGCAUCAACACUAUGAUUUUUCCUACUUGAUUUUCUCACCAUAAUUCAUCAUUUCCUAACCAAUUCACUUGAAAUAAAAUCAAAUCCACCACCAACACUCUACAAGGAAGAUUCAGCCAAUGAUGAACUCACGAGGAAUAUGUGAAUUUCAAGCUUAAUUCUUACACUUAACACCAUAAACAACUAAAAACAUCCAUAUAUCUUAAAAAUCUAUCUAAAUCAUCAUCAAAUUCUCUCUCCUAAGGUUUGAUCAGCACACUAUCCUUCAUGAUAUCUUGUGAUUCAACCAUGGAAAAUAAGAAAAAAUGCUUAAGAAAGAGAGAUCUCAAGCUUAACUGAAAAAUCUUACCUUUUUUUUCGCUUGUUUCCUUGAAUUUUCACACUUUUCCCUUGAAUUUUUCCACCUAGGGUUUUGUUCUUCCUUUUCUUUCUUUGUUCUUACUUU
RNAcentral lists this long non-coding RNA (1972 nucleotides) under Theobroma cacao (cacao). RNAcentral's name for it is "long non-coding RNA (TCAC_LNC003264)". The record is from RNAcentral. Lineage: Eukaryota; Viridiplantae; Streptophyta; Magnoliopsida; Malvales; Malvaceae.